ACAGGUACCUUACAGGCUUCCAGGGAGCUCUAUUCUAAAGAAUAAAAGGGAAAGAUCUUCAAAGUUUGACCCAGUAGUAAGAGAGAAUGCAGAGGUAUGUGAAAAGAUUUCAGAGAAGACAAGUGCUGCCAAUUAACAACACGUCAGCCUGUGGAGUCUCUACUCGGGUAUAAUUGCUCAACCAUGAGGGAUCUCUUUAGGACCAGGAAAACACAUUUUUUGACUCACCUGGCUUUCUCUCUGUAAACAGUGACUGCCCACAUGCCUACACCCAAUGAGCUGGUAAAAAAUCUAAGCCCCUGUUUAGGUGCUUUCACCUUCUGAUUACCAGGAGGAGACGGCACCAGGAGCAGGACUCUCAUUUGUUCCAAAAACCAAAUCGCACAUCCUAAACAUGGAGUUGAAAGAGCCAGUAGCAGCUGAAGAACUUGGAAAGAGAGCAGAGAGCCUUAAGCUUAAGAUGUUGUCUUUUUUCUCCUUCUGCAGCGCUGGUGGUCUUUGCCAGAUGUCAAGUGAUGUGUGAUGAUGUCAUUGCUUUAACAGGUUGUAAAAUGUGUGUGUGUACAAUUUUAUGUAUUAAGCAUUUUAGUUUAAAUUCACAUAUGUGAAAUUUUAAUAGGGGUAUUAUUAUUAUUCACAUAAACAAAAGCUCGUUGGGUCCUCAAUAAUUGUUCCAGUGUAAAGAGUACCUAAACCAAAAAGUUUAAGAAAUGUUGUUCUAAAGGGUGUUCCUCUCCUCUUCACAGUCUGUUGUGUAGCUCAUGUUGUUGCUAUACAAAUAUUUCAGAAGAUGUUAGUUGCAUUAAAGUGAAAUUUUUAGAUAGGU
Molecule: long non-coding RNA, 826 nt
Organism: Galeopterus variegatus (Sunda flying lemur)
Lineage: Eukaryota; Metazoa; Chordata; Mammalia; Dermoptera; Cynocephalidae
Exons: 3
Source: RefSeq, a predicted model, not a curated record